UCGUCGGGGCAUUGUCUGCGUGAAGAAAGAUAGGUUAUGUCGCUGCUGGUAUUGACAAAAAUAAACGUUCUAGAUUUGAUGGAUCAAAAUUAACUAUACAGUCCACAAACAUCAAGCCUAGCGAGUAUCAAGCGUUAUACAUUAACUUUUACCAAAUUUUAAUGAAGCGAGUAAAAUAGCAGAUAGGUAGGACGAGCUCGAGAACAGAAGUAGGAAUGAAGCACAUAGGUAAGUAUAAAAGAGAAGUAACUCACUCGUCGG
Nasonia vitripennis (jewel wasp) is the source of this 261-nucleotide long non-coding RNA. RefSeq lists it as uncharacterized. Lineage: Eukaryota; Metazoa; Arthropoda; Insecta; Hymenoptera; Pteromalidae. The transcript is spliced from 3 exons. The record is from RefSeq and is a predicted model, not a curated record.